Molecule: ribosomal RNA, 372 nt
Filed under: uncultured bacterium
Lineage: Bacteria
Description: bacterial SSU rRNA
Rfam family: Bacterial small subunit ribosomal RNA
Source: RNAcentral
GACGAACGCUGGCGGCGUGCUUAACACAUGCAAGUCACGGGGGCUCGCAAGGGCAACCGGCGAACGGGUGCGUAACACGUGAGCAACCUGCCGAUCUGAGGGGGAUAGCCGGCCCAACGGCCGGGUAAUACCGCAUACGUUCUCGAGGCCUCAUGGCUUUGGGAAGAAACCUCCGGGGCAGAUCGAGGGGCUCGCGGCCUAUCAGCUAGUUGGCGGUGUAAUGGACCACCAAGGCGACGACGGGUAGGCUGGUCUGAGAGGAUGGCCAGCCACAUUGGGGACAGAGAGACGGCCCAGACUCCUACGGGAGGCAGCAGUGGGGAAUCUUGCGCAAUGGCCGAAAGGCUGACGCAGCGACGCCGCGUGUGGGAU